Molecule: long non-coding RNA, 3061 nt
Filed under: Androctonus crassicauda
Lineage: Eukaryota; Metazoa; Arthropoda; Arachnida; Scorpiones; Buthidae
Source: RNAcentral
UACCAAUUGAAGAAAGAACAAUGGCAGAAAAUGCCGCUGAGAGUGAGUAACGUUCCCAUUUACAUUUUAUAGCUAACAGUAGCCUACCGCUGGAUUUUCCCACCGAAACGCGUUAACCGGGACCGCUACCACUUUAAUCUAACCCGGAUUAAUUAGCGCCACUAACCGACCGAAGACGGGCACCGAAAGGCCGUACAGUCGAAUAUGUUAUAAUAUAGCGGCGAGCUGGAGGACAGGAAACGCUAUUCUAUACGUCGGGCAGCGUUCGAUAGCCGGCCAUCUACGCGUAACGGGCGGCGGGACGUUACCUUUUUUAUAUCAUUAUUAUGACACCCGGCCGGCUUAACUAGACCAAGGACACCGGUCCGGACGGAGGCGGCGCCAUAGAGCACCGCUUAUAAACAUGGCGGUAACUACGGUGGCGGGUUAAUCCGCCUAUUUUUCAAAAAUAUUUAUUUAGAGAGAGAGUCGGGCCGAUCACCGCCACGGUACCAAAGAGUCGGGCCUAACCGUUUCCAUCUUUACUACUAGGCCGGUACUUGUACUGGUAAAAAAUAAUGGUUCCGGUUACGGGACGAUAGCGUUAACCUAUUAAAGCGCGGCCUAGGUUUUACGCACCAUUUACGCGGAAUUAAAACCGUUUUGGUUAAUUGGUCGGUCCACCCACCACCGGGAUCCCGAGGCUGCCACUAAUCCCAAAGCCUGGGGCCCUUUAAACUUUUACCCGUUUCGAUAGACGAGUGAUACCGUGGGAAAGGAAGCGAGUAGCGUACGGUAGCGCGGGGCCACCCGGGUUUAAAUCGACAUAGGUUUCGGUCGGAAAUUUCAAAGUUGCCCUGGCGACCGUAGUGAGCCCACAAAAUUUCUACGCUGACCGUUCGAUUCUCCGGAUAUACUUUGGUGAUGAAGGAAAAAAGGUGUACAGCCUUUCUACCCAAAUAUUUUUAAGCCUGGGAAAGAUAUAAGCCGGGAGUGGCGGAAAGGCUGUACUGCACCGCUAAAAUCGAUAUCUAAUAAUAACAACUUUAAAAGUGGCCAUAUGAAAAUUGAACAUACUUCAUUCAGUUUGGACAGUUAGGCCCGUAGCCGAGAAGAAUCGGAAAGUGGCUCCGACGGUUACUUAACGGUACCGUCCUAUCUAUACAAAUAUAAUAAUAAUAAUAUACGAUUCGGGUUUGAGGCAAAUAUAAUUGGUCGAAAAAGAUGUGCGCCGUUAAAAUUUAAAAUAAUAAAAUUUAGGCCUGGUUAGAAGCGUCCAGGCACAAAGCCUAACCUAAUCGAAACUUUCUCCUAUUAAGGCUAAUUAAUUUACUCUAAAGGCCGUUAUCCGGUCGUGUCGGUCCAUACUGAAAAGUGGAAGAGCCCCCGGUUAACGGGCCGCCCGCUAUCGUAUGUAUAAUCUUAGCCGUUUAACUUAAGUGAUGUAUAAUUCUUGGCCGGAAGGGAGGCGCUCAUCUCCGGUCGACGGGCGGGAUCCCAGGCUAGCCUAUCCUACCUAUUUACGGUAGCUAGGCGGCCCGGGCCACCUAAAAGUAUUUUUCUACGAGUUUUUAUAGGGUGGAAAUCUCGGUCGAGGAUUUUUGGCGGGGAAAGGGGCCCCGAUAGAAACGGAAUUUUUCGAAAGUGGCGGGUUUGGCUAGGCGCGGGCCACUGCUACCGAUACCGGUUUUUCCGGCUGGAAAGGCCGCGCGUAUUUGUGACCGUGGACGGUACGUGUGGGAAGGCGGUCCCGUGGCUACCCAGUUAACUAACAAAACGCUGGUAGUUAGCUCAUUCGUCGGUCCUAAGAUUACUGGCCCGUGCCAAAGAAUCGCUAAGGUAGAAGAAAAGAUGACGGUCCGCUUAUAUUCGGAAAAAAUCCCAACUUUGGAUUCAGUCGGUAACAAAGUUCUCUCUAUUUAAAUUCCUAAUGAUAUUUGGAUGCCAUCGGCUCGUAGUUAGUUAGUCGGAGGUUUAACCCGACGGGAUCAAUGGGCAGAAAGUCAAAUCCGGUCGGUUAAAAGUAGGGCGGUGGACGACUUUCCCCCGGUCCCCAGUGGAGGCCUUUCCGUUUAGCCCGGUCGAAAGUGGCGGCUAACUCCCGUUAACCGCCACUUUCGACCGACUGCCGGUAAAACGCGCUCCUUUCCACCAACCAGUGGGUCUGAGUUGGGCUCGAGGUUAGCCAAUGGGUCCGAGUUUGACGCGGAAGACGGCUUAAAACGGUCACCCGUCUUCCGCCCUAUCGGCCGAGUUUUCUUACCCGAUUUUGUUAUUUUCCCGGGACGUAGCCAUUUUCUUUCUUCCACCGCCUUUAGCUCCGCGUCCUUAAUUAGAGUCGAGCGGAAGCUGUAGUAGAUGGCGCGGUUUAUUAAAUCCGUGGCCAUCCGCGGUGGGGUGGAUGGGCAUCUUUCCCUCUUCCCACGCUAACCGGUGGAGGGGAUGGGAGAGUGUCGGCUUCCUCGCUGGGCCCGCGCCACUCGUAGGGAAGAACGGUCGGGUCGACUCGUCUAUCGAUCCAUCCACCGCGCUAAAUAAGGAACGAGUGAGGCGGUCUCGAGUUGUUUACCGCCUCGAUGUAAAUUGUUACGUCAUCGGACUGCCUCGGUCUAAUUUUUGUAGUUUCGGCUUUUAGCUUAAAGAGGCGCUACCCCGUCCGCCUCAGCUUCGGUAACCAAAUUCGGCGGAUAGCGACCCAUCCACGGCCCGCGGCUCCACUCCGUCGGUUCCGUCUUUUGUGUGUUUACUGGUCCGCGGGCCGACUUCCGCGUCCGCUUUUCCGGUGGCCGAGGGUAGCGGGUCUCCCUCCGGACCCGGGCGCUACAAUAUCUAGCGCGUGGAUAGAAAAGGCUUUAACUGUCGAAUGGUACUUAAAGAUACCCGCGGACGCUUAAUUCCGGUGCCUACCCGAACCGCGGAAAGAGGUAGACGUCCCAGUCCGAUUUCUACUUCCGACACAUGGUAAAUGUAGCCGUAAGAGUCGCCUAUUUUCCAACUAUGGUUUAAAAUAAGGACCGGAUGGACCGCCUGGAAACGCUUCGGCUUUCCGGUCUGGUUGGAGUCUCGGGUCCCAGCUCUGGAA